UACGAAGGGGGCUAGCGUUGCUCGGAAUCACUGGGCGUAAAGGGUGCGUAGGCGGGUCUUUAAGUCAGGGGUGAAAUCCUGGAGCUCAACUCCAGAACUGCCUUUGAUACUGAAGAUCUUGAGUCCGGGAGUGGUGAGUGGAACUGCGAGUGUAGAGGUGAAAUUCGUAGAUAUUCGCAAGAACACCAGUGGCGAAGGCGGCUCACUGGCCCGGUACUGACGCUGAGGCACGAAAGCGUGGGGAGCAAACAGG
This 253-nucleotide ribosomal RNA is filed under the name uncultured bacterium. RNAcentral describes it as "partial 16S ribosomal RNA". It matches the Rfam family "Bacterial small subunit ribosomal RNA", at positions 524 to 776 of the family's 1533-position model. The record is from RNAcentral.